This 253-nucleotide ribosomal RNA is filed under the name uncultured bacterium. Its description in RNAcentral is "partial 16S ribosomal RNA". It matches the Rfam family "Bacterial small subunit ribosomal RNA", at positions 524 to 776 of the family's 1533-position model. The record is from RNAcentral.
UACGUAGGGUGCAAGCGUUGUCCGGAAUUAUUGGGCGUAAAGAGCUCGUAGGCGGUCUGUUGCGUCGGCUGUGAAAACCCGGGGCUCAACCCCGGGCCUGCAGCCGAUACGGGCAGACUAGAGUUCGGCAGGGGAGACUGGAAUUCCUGGUGGAGCGGUGAAAUGCGCAGAUAUCAGGAGGAACACCGGUGGCGAAGGCGGGUCUCUGGGCCGAUACUGACGCUGAGGAGCGAAAGCGUGGGGAGCGAACAGG